UAGUCCGUCUGUAUCAAAUUUUCAUUUAGUUAUGUUAGAUCCUCACUCGAAUACUUAAAAGGUUCAAUUUUUACAAGCUCGACUACAUGAACUAUGCAUGUAGUUUUUGGUUUUUAAUUACUGAAAU
Molecule: non-coding RNA, 127 nt
Organism: Populus trichocarpa (black cottonwood)
Lineage: Eukaryota; Viridiplantae; Streptophyta; Magnoliopsida; Malpighiales; Salicaceae
Source: Rfam